This 458-nucleotide unclassified non-coding RNA is filed under the name Hevea brasiliensis (rubber tree). The record is from RNAcentral. Lineage: Eukaryota; Viridiplantae; Streptophyta; Magnoliopsida; Malpighiales; Euphorbiaceae.
GAUGAAAAUGCUAAGACUGCUUCAGCUCAAUCACGUGUGCCUUUCUGGGAGCUAUGAAUAUAUUUCUAGUAAGUUACGAUGGCUGUGUUGGCAUGGAUUUCCUUUGGACUCUAUACCAUUUGACCUUGUUCUGGAAAAUCUGAUUGCUCUUGAUAUGCGCUACAGUAACCUAAAAAAGUUUUCUGAGAAAGUAAAGACUUUAAGGCAACUGAAAUUCCUUAACCUUGGCCACUCGCAUGAACUUAUUGAGACUCCUGACUUUGAAGGCUGCCCCAAUCUUGCGAAGUUGAUGCUCAAAGAUUGCACUAAAUUGGAAAGGGUUCAUAAUUCCAUUAGACUUCUCAACAAUCUUGUUUUCUUGAAUAUGCAAGAUUGUAAGAGCCUUAAGAAUCUUCCAGAAAGUGUUGGUGAUCUAAGAUCACUUGAGAAGCUCAACAUGUCAGGCUGCUCAAAACUUG